GUACCUUGUGUAUCAGGGUUCAUUAAAUUCUAUUAUUUAUUUUUGUUUCCCGAUUUUAAAGGAGUUAAUGAUUUAUUUUAGUUAUUGUUUCAAUAUUAUUAAUAAUAGGUCAUUGGUAGUGAAAUGUUAUUCGUCUUUAGUGGUUUCUGGUUUUUCAAGAAAUGAAUUCAAUUCAUGCUUUUAUUUAAUUUAUUUAUUGGAAUGUUUUCUUUAUUUAUUGGUUUGGAUAGUAAUUAUUAUGUAAUUAGUAAAUUGUAUUUUAUGUUGUUUGUGUAUGUGUUAAAUUCUUUUGAGGAAUUAGGCAAAUAUUUUCAUGUCCGCCUGUUUAACAAAAACAUCUUUUCUUGUUAGUUUUUGAAGUAUGGCCUGCCCACUGACUUUGUUUGUUGAAGGGCCGCGGUAUUUUGACCGUGCAAAGGUAGCAUAAUCAUUAGUUCUUUAAUUGUGAUCUGGUAUGAAUGGCUUGACGAGACGUGCACUGUCUUAAAGGUUGAAUAUUUAGUUGAAUUUGGUUUUUGAGUUAAAAUUCUUAAAUGUUUUUAUGGGACGAGAAGACCCUAUAGAGUUUGACAUUUGAUUUAUUUUCUGUUAUUUGUUUGUAUUGUUUUAUUGAGUGAUUUAGGUGUUUUGUUGGGGUGAUGGGAGGAAUAUCAAUUAACUCCUCUUUAUUUUUUAUACUUAUCUGUAUUUUUUUGAUCCAUUUAUUUUGAUUAUAAGAUUAAAUUACCUUAGGGAUAACAGCGUUAUCUUCCUUGAGAGUUCUUAUUGGCGGGAAGGUUUGCGACCUCGAUGUUGGAUUAAGGUAAAUUUUUGGUGUAGGAGCUGAAAGUGAUUGGGUCUGUUCGACCUUUAAAACCUUACAUGAUCUGAGUUCAGACCGGCGUGAGCCAGGUUGGUUUCUAUCUAUAAUACUAUUUAUACCUUAGUACGAGAGGACCGGGUAUUUGGAAUAAUUUUAUUUUGUAUGAUUAUUAUUAAUGUUGUUGACUAUUUUGGCAGAUAAGUGC
RNAcentral lists this ribosomal RNA (1007 nucleotides) under Anoplotermes sp. J01. RNAcentral's name for it is "16S ribosomal RNA". The stretch from base 540 to 909 matches the Rfam family "Bacterial large subunit ribosomal RNA", at positions 2073 to 2647 of the family's 2925-position model. The record is from RNAcentral. Lineage: Eukaryota; Metazoa; Arthropoda; Insecta; Blattodea; Termitidae.